This 2363-nucleotide ribosomal RNA is filed under the name Triticum aestivum (bread wheat). Its description in RNAcentral is "partial small subunit ribosomal RNA". The record is from RNAcentral. Lineage: Eukaryota; Viridiplantae; Streptophyta; Magnoliopsida; Poales; Poaceae.
CCCUCUGACCAUCCCCUCCACGGUAUAAGGUGUGGUAGAGGUGGUCUGGCAGGUAGGUGGCGGCGGUGCUGCCAAGGGGUAGCGGCUUCCGGUCGUUUUGUCCAGUGAUAUAGGGACGCCAGCACUUGAUCGAGGCCACCGAAACAUGCUCCUCUUCUCCAGCAGGGCGGCCGCACUAGGUUAAGUUGCCUUCGCUGCGGCGGCGGAGCAGGUUCGCGCUGGAGUCGAGGUGCGGCCGCGAACCAGCGAAGGGGCGCGAGACGUUCGAGCCCCUGACAAAGAGAGGACAGGGUAGGAGUGGAGGGGCUAACCUUCCUAGAUCUCUAAAGUGGUCGGCGGGAACUCAGUAAUGUUAGAUGCAUCCAUAGUAGCUGGAGGAGAAGUUCAAACCAGAGAGGAGGAUGAAGUACUCGAGUACAUUACUACAUUUACCCCUAAGGAUGGAUAAAAAACUAUCUGACCUCCUACAAACACAGUAGUUCUCACGUAGGCUUAAACAAACGUACUCAAACUGUAGUUUUGCCCCUACCAUUCAACACUACCCCUUUUAAUGAACAGUUCCUUAGUGAGUACAGACAACAUAACUCUCCUCGUACUUUAAUGGUAAGAUACACUUUAUUUGUAAGUAUACGAGUCCGAAUAUUAUAGUCUUAAAAGAACCGCAUAGGCGGUGUUAGGAUCCUACCGACGCUGGAGUCGUAGCAAAAAGAAGUAACAUCAAACGCAUGAAAGAUCUACGAUUAAAACAACCGGUUCAAGAACAUGACAAAGGACUAAGAAUAGCUCUAUGGGUAUAGGUUAAGGUUUUCCUUCCAUAAAAACAGGUUGAUCACAACAAGAACUACAACAAACUUCGUGGAGAGUAAGGAAUCAAGUUAGAAAAACACAAUCCCUAGGUCCACACCGGAGUGGUACAUGUAUACGAGGGAGUUUUGUAUGUAAAAAGAAGGAGACGUCUUAAGGGGAAAACACUUGACUGAAAUCAACAUAUCGGACUAACGGAAUAGUUUCAGUGACUUAAAGAGAACCGAAAAAAACCCUUCCAUACCCUCUUUACAAAACAAGAUGCUAUAUAGCAACAUGGUGUUAUGUACUACUCGUCUAGAACGACGUUUUAUAUAACAACUCCACGGCGAUCAUCGAGUCUCAGUAUGGAUGUCGAUCAUCGAGGAGGUUUGUAAUAAUAUUACAAUGAUGAAUUACAUAUAAGACCUCCACGACGAUUUUAAAGGAUGAUCUUAUUUUAUUUAGUAAAAACCCUAAGGAUAGAUAAAUCUUACGUAUACACUGAAAGGAUGGUAUAUACAUACCCAAAUUUCAUCUAUAUGGAGUACGAGCUCAAUUUCAUUUGUGAAGUGUAUGAAGAACAUCUCAAAUGAUAAUAAAAAACUCAAAAAACCCACGUUAGUAACUAAAAGUGUAUUUUUAAUCCUUUAAUGCAAAAGUCCAUCCUUAAUAUAGUGUUUUCCGUAGGGGUCCGCACGGUAAAAGUGUCAACUUUCUUCUACUAUUCGAAGAUCAGCAGUUGUUUACAUAACUACUUAAAGGUGUUAAUCAUUACGUUUAAUCGCAGCCGAAGUCAAAAGACCAAAAGAAAACGUUAGACGUAGAGGUAUCUAACAAACCCGUUAUAUCUUGACUUCGUGAACGUCAAAGACAUGUCAAAACCUAUAUUAUAGUAAUUAUUUAUACAACUCCUGAUUUUAGAAUAGUUAGUUAACCUACGAUUUAAAACAUCAACUCUUUAUCGAUUGAGAGAGGGACGUUUUAUUUUACAUCACUUCAUCAAUCGAGAGUAUACUCGUGCAUAAAUCUAGAAGACCGUGACAAUACGUACCUAGAUUGAUCUUCGAAGUAAACCCACUUUCUGGUAACAGAACUCUAACUUUAAGUACUACUAUAUGAUGAACAAGAUAUGUCUACUUUGUUUAGAGACACAUAUGUCCAUAAACCAUGAAUUACAUAAGGAAUAAAGGAACAAAAGACCGACCCGACGAAACAAGUCUUAUGCUAAAAGACAAAUCGUGUUGGUGUUGGUGCACGUAGACGAGCUGGACAACUACGAACGGUGUUUAAGUUUUCGGACUGACUUCGACGGUUUCGUUCUUCUUCUAUCUUCUUAAGACUUAAAAAUACGGUACUUGCCUUGUAGAGUAAGUCGACCUGAGAUCAAUAAGUCAAGUGUUUUCUAUCUAGACUUACGUUCGCUUUAAACAUUGUACUUCCGUUUCUAAAGUGGCGGUUAAGUAAAAGUACUACAUAUCGCUUAUGAACUAACUCCACAUUACGUAAAUGGAAGACUUAAUAAUACAGCUAUUUUAACGAGGUACGCUCACAAACAGUUUUAAGGCACAUCUUCAUCG